This 253-nucleotide ribosomal RNA is filed under the name uncultured bacterium. RNAcentral describes it as "partial 16S ribosomal RNA". It matches the Rfam family "Bacterial small subunit ribosomal RNA", at positions 524 to 776 of the family's 1533-position model. The record is from RNAcentral.
UACGUAGGGUGCGAGCGUUAAUCGGAAUUACUGGGCGUAAAGGGUGCGCAGGCGGUUAUAUAAGACAGAUGUGAAAUCCCCGGGCUCAACCUGGGAACUGCGUUUGUGACUGUAUGACUAGAGUACGGUAGAGAGGGGUGGAAUUCCUGGUGUAGCAGUGAAAUGCGUAGAUAUCGGGAGGAACACCUGUGGCGAAGGCGGCCCCCUGGUUGGAUACUGACGCUGAGACGCGAAAGCGUGGGGAGCAAACAGG